RNAcentral lists this ribosomal RNA (256 nucleotides) under uncultured bacterium. RNAcentral describes it as "partial 16S ribosomal RNA". It matches the Rfam family "Bacterial small subunit ribosomal RNA", at positions 524 to 776 of the family's 1533-position model. The record is from RNAcentral.
UACGUAGGCAGCGAGCGUUGUUCGGAGUUACUGGGCGUAAAGGGUGUGUAGGCGGUUGUUUUAAGUUUGGUGUGAAAUCUCCCGGCUCAACUGGGAGGGUGCGCCGAAUACUGAAUGACUUCGAGUGCGGGAGAGGAAAGUGGAAUUCCUGGUGUAGCGGUGAAAUGCGUAGAUAUCAGGAGGAACACCGGUGGUGUAGACGGCUUUCUGGACCGUAACUGACGCUGAGACACGAAAGCGUGGGGUAGCAAACAGG